GAUGAAGAACGUAGUGAAAUGCGGUAAGUAAUGUGAAUUGCAGAAUUCAGUGAAUCAUCGAAUCUUUGAACGCACAUUGCGCCCCUUGGUAUUCCGAGGGGCAUGCCUGUUCGAGCGUCAUUAUAACCCCUCAAGCUCAGCUUGGUGUUGGGGCCUGCUGCACUGGCAGCCCUUAAAAUCAGUGGCGGCGCCAUCUGGCUCUAAGCGUAGUAAUUCUUCUCGCUAUGGAGUCCUGGUGGAUGCUUGCCAUCAACCCCCAAUUUUUCUAUGGUUGACCUCGGAUCAGGUAGGGAUACCCGCUGAACUUAAGCAUAUCAAUAAGCGGAGGA
This 329-nucleotide unclassified non-coding RNA is filed under the name soil metagenome. RNAcentral's name for it is "partial contains 5.8S ribosomal RNA, internal transcribed spacer 2, and large subunit ribosomal RNA". The stretch from base 1 to 120 matches the Rfam family "5.8S ribosomal RNA", at positions 35 to 154 of the family's 154-position model. The record is from RNAcentral.